CCUACGGGUGGCAGCAGUAGGGAAUCUUCCACAAUGGGCGAAAGCCUGAUGGAGCAACGCCGCGUGGGUGAAGAAGGUCUUCGGAUCGUAAAACCCUGUUGUUAGAGAAGAAAGUGCGUGAGAGUGACUGCUCACGUUUCGACGGUAUCUAACCAGAAAGCCACGGUUAACUACGUGCCCGCAGCCGCGGUAAUACGUAGGUGGCAAGCGUUAUCCGGAUUUAGUGGGCGUAAGGGGAACGCAGGCGGUCUUUUAAGUCUGAUGUGAAAGGCUUCGGCUUAACCGGAGUAGUGCAUUGGAAACUGGGAGACUUGAGUGCGGGAGAGGAGAGUGGAACUCCAUGUGUAGCGGUGAAAUGCGUAGAUAUAUGGAAGAACACCAGUUGCGAAAGCGGCUCUCUGGUCUGUAACUGACGCUGAGGUUCGAAAGCGUGGGUAGCAAACAGGAUUAGAUACCCUUGUAGUC
Molecule: ribosomal RNA, 465 nt
Filed under: uncultured bacterium
Lineage: Bacteria
Description: partial 16S ribosomal RNA
Rfam family: Bacterial small subunit ribosomal RNA
Source: RNAcentral